Molecule: long non-coding RNA, 326 nt
Organism: Bombyx mori (domestic silkworm)
Lineage: Eukaryota; Metazoa; Arthropoda; Insecta; Lepidoptera; Bombycidae
Exons: 2
Source: RefSeq, a predicted model, not a curated record
CCCACUUUGUGCAAUCUUCUAGAUAAUCAUUGACUUUAUAGUAAGCUUUAUUGCACAGAUUGGGAAUGAGUUGCUCGCUCCGGGAAUUUCAAUAUUGUAAAAUUGUUAUGUUAUAAUUACUUAUUGUAAUAUGAAUAUUUAAAAAAAAAAAAAAUAUUUAAAAUAAAAAUAAAAAUCUAAUAUUAAAAAAAAAAAAAAAACAUGCCCGCUGAGUUUCUUGCCAAUUCUUCUCAGGACGGAGGCUAAUUCUUGUGAAUUGGCGGUAAUUCUUUUGACGUUCAACAAGUAUGUACUUUCAUUUAUGUUGAAUAAAACUUUUUUGAUUU